GGACCUGUGGCGCAGCGGUAGCGCGUCUGAUUCCAGUCCAGAAGGUCAUCCGUUCAAAUCGGGUCAGGUUCA
RNAcentral lists this transfer RNA (72 nucleotides) under Mycosphaerella sp. Ston1. RNAcentral describes it as "tRNA-Trp (CCA) (tRNA-Trp-CCA-1-1)". It matches the Rfam family "tRNA". From Rfam's summary of the family: Transfer RNA (tRNA) molecules are approximately 80 nucleotides in length. Their secondary structure includes four short double-helical elements and three loops (D, anti-codon, and T loops). Further hydrogen bonds mediate the characteristic L-shaped molecular structure. tRNAs have two regions of fundamental functional importance: the anti-codon, which is responsible for specific mRNA codon recognition, and the 3' end, to which the tRNAs corresponding amino acid is attached (by aminoacyl-tRNA synthetases). tRNAs cope with the degeneracy of the genetic code in two manners: having more than one tRNA (with a specific anti-codon) for a particular amino acid; and 'wobble' base-pairing, i.e. permitting non-standard base-pairing at the 3rd anti-codon position. Lineage: Eukaryota; Fungi; Ascomycota; Dothideomycetes; Mycosphaerellales; Mycosphaerellaceae. RNAcentral also lists the same sequence under 1 other name. The record is from RNAcentral.